AGCAGCCGCGGUAAUUCCAGCUCCAAUAGCGUAUAUUAAAGUUGUUGCAGUUAAAAAGCUCGUAGUUGAAUUUCGGGAUCAAUUUAUUGGUCGUGCUAUUGUACGUACUGGUAUUAUUGAUUCCUACCUUCUGACGAACCAUGAUGUCAUUAAUUUGGUGUCAUGGGGAAUCAGGACUGUUACUUUGAAAAAUUAGAGUGUUUAAAGCAGGCUCACGCUUGAAUACAUUAGCAUGGAAUAACGAAAUAGGACGUUUGAUUCUAUUUUGUUGGUUUCUAGGAUCGACGUAAUGAUUAAUAGGGAUAGUUGGGGGCAUUAGUAUUCAAUUGUCAGAGGUGAAAUUCUUGGAUUUAUUGAAGACUAACUACUGCGAAAGCAUUUGCCAAGGAUGUUUUCAUUAAUCAAGAACGAA
Molecule: unclassified non-coding RNA, 412 nt
Filed under: uncultured Glomus
Lineage: Eukaryota; Fungi; Glomeromycota; Glomeromycetes; Glomerales; Glomeraceae
Description: SSU rRNA
Rfam family: Eukaryotic small subunit ribosomal RNA
Source: RNAcentral